ACAUCCAGCGAACUUGGCAGAGAUGCCUUGGUGGCCCUUCGGGAACGCUGAGACAGGUGCUGCAUGGCUGUCGUCAGCUCGUGUUGUGAAAUGUUGGGUUAAGUCCCGNAACGAGCGCAACCCUUUAUCCUUUGUUGCCAGCGAUUCGGUCGGGAACUCAAAGGAGACUGCCGGUGAUAAACCGGAGGAAGUGGGGAUGACGUCAAGUCAUCAUGGCCCUUACGAGUAGGGCUACACACGUGCUACAAUGGCGCAUACAAAGAGAAGCGACCUCGCGAGAGCAAGCGGACCUCAUAAAGUGCGUCGUAGUCCGGAUCGGAGUCUGCAACUCGACUCCGUGAAGUCGGAAUCGCUAGUAAUCGUGGAUCAGAAUGCCACGGUGAAUACGUUCCCGGGCCUUGUACACACCGCCCGUCACACCAUGGGAGUGGGUUGCAAAAGAAGUAGGUAGCUUAACCUUCGGGAGGGCGCUUACCACUUUGUGAUUCAUGACUGGGGUGAAGUCGUAACAAGGUAGGCGUAGCGAG
Molecule: ribosomal RNA, 527 nt
Filed under: uncultured bacterium
Lineage: Bacteria
Description: bacterial SSU rRNA
Rfam family: Bacterial small subunit ribosomal RNA
Source: RNAcentral